Molecule: ribosomal RNA, 559 nt
Filed under: Halobacillus sp. HK15
Lineage: Bacteria; Bacillati; Bacillota; Bacilli; Caryophanales; Bacillaceae
Description: bacterial SSU rRNA
Rfam family: Bacterial small subunit ribosomal RNA
Source: RNAcentral
UCGUGGAACGAGCGGCGGACGGGUGAGUAACACGUGGGCAACCUGCCUGUAAGAUCGGAAUAACCCCGGGAAACCGGGGCUAAUGCCGGGUAAUACUUUCUUUCGCAUGAAGGAAAGUUGAAAGAUGGCUUCUUGCUAUCACUUACAGAUGGGCCCGCGGCGCAUUAGCUAGUUGGUGAGGUAACGGCUCACCAAGGCGACGAUGCGUAGCCGACCUGAGAGGGUGAUCGGCCACACUGGGACUGAGACACGGCCCAGACUCCUACGGGAGGCAGCAGUAGGGAAUCUUCCGCAAUGGACGAAGUCUGACGGAGCAACGCCGCGUGAACGAUGAAGGUCUUCGGAUCGUAAAGUUCUGUUGUUAGGGAAGAACAAGUACCGUGCGAAUAGAGCGGUACCUUGACGGUACCUAACGAGGAAGCCCCGGCUAACUACGUGCCAGCAGCCGCGGUAAUACGUAGGGGGCAAGCGUUGUCCGGAAUUAUUGGGCGUAAAGCGCGCGCAGGCGGUUCCUUAAGUCUGAUGUGAAAGCCCACGGCUCAACCGUGGAGGGUCAUUG